Long non-coding RNA from Panicum virgatum (switchgrass), 1804 nucleotides. RefSeq lists it as uncharacterized. NCBI's taxonomy places the organism in Eukaryota, Viridiplantae, Streptophyta, Magnoliopsida, Poales, Poaceae. The record is from RefSeq and is a predicted model, not a curated record. The transcript has 2 exons.
UGUUAAGAUUCAUAAUUUCUAUGAGUGAAAGAGUCAAAUUGAUAUGUAUGCAGGUGGUGGCUCUGAAAGAAUGCAUGCCUAGGCUGGGAGAUUCAAUUUGUUCAUGUGCUCAUAGUACAAAGCUGAAUAGUCAUAUGCUCAUAGUCGAGUAUUUUAUCAAAUUUGCAAGUAAAUUCACAUUAUGUUUGUUAAUUUCCCCCAAAAAUCUUAAGUUGUCUGAUUCAUUCAGUAUGAAUUUUGGUUAUUGUUCAGACAAUUUUGGGUCUACCCUGUUUUGGAAUUCAUGCUGCUUGUUGUUUCAGUUCGAAUUCAUGUGGACCUGUUUGAGUUUAGCUGGAAUGCUGGACGCUUCAAAGGGGACCCUAGGGAGAGCUGCCGCUGCGAUGCAGAUAAAGAAGGUCACUUGCAACGGUAACUAAACUAUAUAUCCAGAAGCUCACUUGCAAAUAUAAAGAAGCUCACUUGCAACGCUGUCAUUUUGAUGAUGGGAUCAGCUCACGGCAUUGAGAAAUGUUACAGUGUCCUUUGGAUGAUCUUGAAUUGAUAUGCAUCCAUAAGUACAUAAAAAUGCUAAUCAGUUGGACUCAGACGGCGCGGAGGACUCGAGCGGCGCAGUCACCGGAAUUAGCACGAGCAGAGGCAGAGGUCGGCGGCGCGGAGGACUCGACGAUGGCAGGCCGAUUUGCUCCCCUAAGCGAUGGCCGCGUGUGCGCACUGCAGUGACAUCUAUGGCCAGUUCUACGACCUGAUCGAGCUCUUCCAACGUCUCUCUCUCUGAUUGUUUUUGUUAAGUCUUGAAACUACCCUAUGAGUGUUGAGCUGGAAUACAUAAAAGAAAAGAAAGCUACGCUGGAAGGCGGCUGUCGAACCAUUUCAUCUUGCUAGCAUUGUCCAAGCAUAAAUCUUAACACCCCAAUAACUGUGUCAUGUUAUUAUGCUUUUGAUUAGUCAAUUUGGGUAUCUGUUGACUGACUUCAAACUCAAUUUUAUGCGGAUGAGAGGUUAAUGUUCAGCAUAUUUAUUUUUUUAAUGAAAAUGAAUGCAUUUCUUUAAAAGUGUUUUCAUGCCUUCUCACCCAUUGCGAGUGUGUACUGUCUAUAUGAAGUAUGCUCAUAAUUUUUCAAAGAGUUAGAAGAGAUGGCUCAGUUGAAGUUAUUGUUUUCACCAACACUCUGAAGUUCUUUUUUAACAUUGUAGAUGUGCAUUCCUCAUGUUAUAGGUGUUACCACUGUGUAUAUAUAUGCAAACUUGCUAGCAGAAAAAAAACAGAGCUUAAUAGUAAGAGGAGGAAAGCCUGCCAUUAAAAAAAAUGCCCAGAUUGCAGUUACUAACAAUAGUAUCAAACCACCAGGUACCUUGUCCUUCCAAUAAACUUGCAAAUAUGUCAGGUUAAGAAGCCGCUGACUCAAAUGUCUUUACUGUAGGUGUCAUCCUUACUGAACCAAACAAAUACAGAAAAUGGCGCCAUGGGACAAUGAGAUUGUGAGCAAUGGAACGUCUGAUUUUUAUGAUAGUUGACUGCAUUGUAACAAUCCUUUUGAAAGGGCACAAAUAGUAGUUUGAUGUAAUCUAAUCACUUUUAAAUAAUUGGACUUUAAAAACAUACAUCUGUCAUGUGCUGAUAUGGAAAUGGAGAGUCUACUCAGGGAUUCAGGGAUGGAAGGCACCGGGAGAAAGGAGUGAGUGAGGGUUUGUUGCUCUCUGCCAUAGUGCUACGCAUAUGUUCAUAAGAGCUAUUCAUUUAUUUUUCGAGUCUUGGCAAUUUUUUGGUGAUAUUGCAAAAUACCAGUGAAAUAUUUGUAUA